This 424-nucleotide ribosomal RNA is filed under the name Verrucomicrobiota bacterium. Its description in RNAcentral is "Verrucomicrobia bacterium partial 16S ribosomal RNA". It matches the Rfam family "Bacterial small subunit ribosomal RNA", at positions 355 to 776 of the family's 1533-position model. Lineage: Bacteria; Pseudomonadati; Verrucomicrobiota. The record is from RNAcentral.
UGAGGAAUAUUGGUCAAUGGACGCAAGUCUGAACCAGCCAAGUAGCGUGCAGGAUGACGGCCCUAUGUGUUGUAAACUGCUUUUAUAUGGGGAUAAAGUGGGGAACGUGUUCCCUUUUGCAGGUACCAUAUGAAUAAGGACCGGCUAAUUCCGUGCCAGCAGCCGCGGUAAUACGGAAGGUUCGGGCGUUAUCCGGAUUUAUUGGGUUUAAAGGGAGCGUAGGCCGUUUGGUAAGCGUGUUGUGAAAUGUAGGAGCUCAACUUCUAGAUUGCAGCGCGAACUGUCAGACUUGAGUGCGCACAACGUAGGCGGAAUUCAUGGUGUAGCGGUGAAAUGCUUAGAUAUCAUGAAGAACUCAGAUUGCGAGGGCAGCUUACGGGAGCGCAACUGACGCUGAAGCUCGAAGGUGCGGGUAUCGAACAGG